UUUUUGUAAGGAUGUGUAAAUGUGUGAAUCGAUCAAUAAGUAAUAUAACUUCUCUUGGUACCUGCUAUAUUCUAGGUCCUAGCCUGAGUCCUUCUUUGCUCAAUGAGGAGUCUAAAGACCUUCCAUGGCUUUGGAGUUAUAGGGUGAAAGGAACCUCCAAAUGGCCCAAAAGCAAGAAAACAGAAGUGCCCUCCUCAUCACAAAAAAAAGAACUGAGAGAAAAUGUUUCAAGAUGUUCCACUGGAAAACCUCUCCAGAGUAAGGGUAUGAAGGUAUUUCUGGAGCUGAAAGGCAACAAAUUGAGAACUGGCAUGCACACCCCAAAAUAUUUCUGUGCUAAAUACAUCUUCCUACAGACACUUUUAAAGCUUUGAACUUGAAGAAAAAACACACUCUACAGGAGUCCCCCUAGUGAAAUGAGGACUGUGGUAAGUACUACAAUAAAGGUACUUAUAAAUUUGUAAUGAAUUUUCCUCAGGUCAAAUCAACCUGAAGAGUGUCCUAGCAACACAGUAUCAGUAAUAAACUAUUCUCUUCUGGCUGUGCUCUAACAAUCUAGUCUCUGAACCACCAAUUACCCACAAACAGCCCUAGUGUCACAUUUCUUGC
RNAcentral lists this long non-coding RNA (609 nucleotides) under Macaca nemestrina (pig-tailed macaque). RNAcentral's name for it is "lncRNA (ENSMNEG00000046140.1)". The record is from RNAcentral. Lineage: Eukaryota; Metazoa; Chordata; Mammalia; Primates; Cercopithecidae.